CCCGCCCGAGGGGGCCGCGGUCAGCGCUGCCCGGCACUGCUCCCCCCGCUUCUGGGCCACGCCAAGCGACCUGGUCCCGUUGGGAAGGCGGAGGGGGCGAGAGUGAAUGCACGAUUGGUGCCCCGCAACAGGACGAGGAGCAGUGGCCAUAAACUAAAACACUUCAACAUGAGGAAAAACUUUACGUUGAGGGUGGCAGAGCACUGAACAGGCUGCCCAGGGAGGUUGUGGGAUCUCCCUCUCUGCAGACAUUCCAAACCCGCCUGGACGCGUUCCUGUGUCAUCUGCUCGAGGUGACCCUGCCUUGGCAGGGGGGUGGACUGGAUGACCUCCAGAGGUCUCUUCCAACCCCAACAAUUCUGGAAUUCUGUGACAAAUUAAAAAAAAAGAAAAAGACAAGCACAGAAGAAAUCACAAGUCCUUCUGUCUGCAGCUCUCAAAACUAUUUGUUGGAGGAGGGUGUGAUUAUUUUUGUCUAACGGCAAGGGAAGAACAGAGUUUUGUUCAAGGUUACAGCUGGUAAGACAAAAAAAAUGUUGCAGUCGUGCUGGUGGUGACAGGAUUUCGGAAGUGUGGAAUAACCAGUGAGUGUAAAUGGAUUCAGGGUUUGACCCUGAAUAACCCACAAAAAGAAGCGAUCCAACCCUUCGCAGAUGCAAACAAAGAGAAUCCCAGAUGGAGAUGCAUGUUUUUAGGUGGCAGAAAAGAGAGGAGAAAUGUUGCAAGGACGACAGAGGAUUCGCAGGCAGCCGCCUGCCGAGCAGGCGUUGUCUUUAGAGCAAAUCCCCUGCUAGUGACUAAGUUAGAUGGGGCACGUGAGUCAACUUAAAACCUUCAUGCUGUUGCCAAAAGGAGUGGGCUGCUUUCCCGACUUCUCUGAUGGAGGAGCCAGGCACUCCUGUUUUUCCCAGGGGCUGACUGUGCUGCUCAGGGUUCCUCAGUGAGUGAUUCAGUGUACUAACCUCACAUACAACUAACUGUAUUUUUUAAUUGUCCAUUUUCUGCACAAUUAAUGAACUGAACUGAUUCACCAUAAGAUCACAGAAGUAUCAGGAGUGAGCACAGAGGAUGAAUUGAAACUGUUAGACGGGGAGGAACAGGACCAUCCCUUUGGUAACAUUGCACUCUUAAAUCAUCUCAGUAGUCUCAUCUAAAUCCUCCCUAGGAGGAUUCGUGUUACUGCCAGGAAGUCUAACACCUUGCUAUCAUUAAAAAGGUUGGUGCCUUCCUCUCCUCACCCUCAGUACUCACCAUCAUCCACCUGAGUCCUCCCAUUGCUCCAUAUGUGCCUGGUCGUGUAUACGUGUGACCCCGGGGUUAGGCAGUGAGCAAGCUAAAUCUGGAGGCUUUAAGAAAGGGUAGUUUUCUGAUUAAUCCUGCAACAGCUAACUGUGGAGUCAGGUCUGAGUGACAGGGGUUGCACAAGAGAGGAAACCAGACUCUGAGGCUGUAAACGAUGGAUAGAGCCUCGAAGCGGCAUCUGGGAAUUUGUAACAUAAGCUCAAGACAGCAGUGAGGAGUAAUGGUCUGUAUAGUGAAGGAGAAGUAAUUUUGAGGAACAAGAGUUUGCUCUGUGUUUACAUACUGUAAAUGAGAAGCAGGGGGGGGAAAAGCAAAGAUAGGCUGGUAAGGGAUAAAAAAAAAAAGAGAGUUUUCAGUUCCACAGAAACAGAAGAAGACACAGAACAGGGACACCUUGGAAUCCAGCCCAGGAAGAAAAUCAAAUGUUGAAAAAAAAGAAAAGGAGGAAAUUAUCUGCAGGUAGAGGGAAAACCAAGAAGUAUAAAAGUGAAUAUCUGCACAAACAAUAGAGAGAAACAAGUCUGCAUGAUUAUAGAGUUCUUAUUAAGAAGAACCAAUUGACCUGUCAUGUCUGUAAGAAACAAGAAUUUGAGACGUAGUGCUGAGACUGAAGAAAGUCUUGUUAGAGUGAGGAGAAGUCCUUCACAGUGGGAGAAAUGGAAAUCACACAGACUAUUCAUACACAAACACAGUAUGUAGAAGAGAGAAAUUGGGGCUAUGGGAGUGUCAGCCCCUUGCAUGGAAGGUGUGUGUCUGUGCACUGGUUGUAUGAUGUGGUAGCUGUUUUUUGUUUCUGCUGCUUCAAAUCCUCCUGAUGAAUUUUUUUGUUGUGUGGUGCUAUAAUGAACGUAAGCAUACUCCAUUGCAUUCUUACCACCAGCUCAAUUCCUCCACAUAGGAAUUCUGAAGGUAGGAAUCGAGGCAAUAACCAGAUACUUUCAAAAAGUUUCCUAGAUUUCUCUUCUCUCUUUCCAUUUCCAUUAUCUUCUUCAUUUCCUCUCUCUUCUCGAUUAUCACAUGAUAUUAUCAUAUUCAUUCUCAAUUUUGCUUCUCUGACUACAUCUCUAGAAGAAACUUUUUAUUUCUGCCCUGCUAAAAUACAGGACUUUUCAAAUGUACUUUUCAGUGAGCAUGUUGUUAUUUUUCUUGCAUAUUCCUAGGGACUGACUGUCCCUAGAACCUUCUGUAUAAUCCCUGUAAAGCAAUCAAAGAAUACAAUAUUGCUUUAAAAGCAUUUGAAACCAGUUUCAGAAACCUCUGUUCAGUUUGCCAACUGAAGAUCUCAAUUGCAGCUAUGAUUGUGGGGAUAGACAAUUUUAAUCUCAGAGAACAAACUAAUUCCUACAGGCAUUAAGAAAAGUUCUGAGGGAAAAAAAAAAUCACUAAAACAUACCCCAUGGCUGUGUUUCCAAAUAGCUGUGUCGUGGACUUAAGAAGAAAGUCCAAAAAGAAGUGUUGCUUCCUCUUUUUGUUCCCCCUGCUGGUACCUGAUGUUACUGGCCUUAUUUCUCACCCUUUCAUAACAGCACGGACUAAGUAAUACUGCAAGUCCUUUAUAAGGAUUGAUGAAGUGUCUACAUAAUGCUGCCUGUACAACAUCUUUUCUCAUUUAAAUAGUGUUUUUUAUAAAGCUGUCAUUGCUUUUACUUGAAUAUCAGAACACAGAUGCUUGCAAGUUGACUGACUGAGCACUUGAAAAUCAAAAAUGUGAGUAGUUUUCAUUGA
Long non-coding RNA from Corapipo altera (White-ruffed manakin), 3027 nucleotides. RefSeq lists it as uncharacterized. The record is from RefSeq and is a predicted model, not a curated record. The transcript is spliced from 2 exons. Lineage: Eukaryota; Metazoa; Chordata; Aves; Passeriformes; Pipridae.